AUGGUCGGUGACGCCCUCCCUUCCCUCCUGACCGGCCGGUGCUGCGCUGGAUUGACGGACCCCUCGCUGCUAUGGCCAGCAAUGCCCUCCCUUCCCUCCCUCCCCUCGUCUCCCUUACCCAGCGACGAUCUUGACGGCGGCCUCCCCAACUACAUCGUCACCGGCCAAGGCUCACCGCAGUGCAUGACCGACAGAUCUGGGGGAUUAGUCGCUCCCUCACGCUCAUCCCAUCCUCACCCGGCGACGAGGAGUCUUCUCCGACCUCCGCCAACAUCCACGGCCACCACACCACCCCUCCCUUCUAAUCCCUCCCUCCUAGACCGUGUGUGUAGUACGACACCCCCGUGUGUACAGUACGACACCCAUGUGCGUGCAGUUUGA
This 381-nucleotide ribosomal RNA is filed under the name Triticum aestivum (bread wheat). RNAcentral's name for it is "partial small subunit ribosomal RNA". Lineage: Eukaryota; Viridiplantae; Streptophyta; Magnoliopsida; Poales; Poaceae. The record is from RNAcentral.